GCCCGGGUGGCGGAAUUGGCAGACGCACUAGAUUCAGGUUCUAGCGCCUUCACCGGCGUGAAGGUUCGAGUCCUUUCCCGGGCACCA
This 87-nucleotide transfer RNA is filed under the name Planctomycetota bacterium. RNAcentral's name for it is "Planctomycetes bacterium (soil metagenome) tRNA-Leu". It matches the Rfam family "tRNA". Rfam says of the family: Transfer RNA (tRNA) molecules are approximately 80 nucleotides in length. Lineage: Bacteria; Pseudomonadati; Planctomycetota. The record is from RNAcentral.